UACGAAGGGGGCUAGCGUUGUUCGGAAUCACUGGGCGUAAAGCGCGUGUAGGCGGAUCGUUAAGUCGGGGGUGAAAUCCUGAGGCUCAACCUCAGAACUGCCUUCGAUACUGGCGAUCUUAGAGUCCGGGAGAGGUGAGUGGAACUCCUAGUGUAGAGGUGAAAUGCGCAGAUAUCAGGAGGAACACCGGUGGCGAAGGCGGGUCUCUGGGCCGAUAUUGACGCUGAGGAGCGAAAGCGUGGGGAGCAAACAGG
Molecule: ribosomal RNA, 254 nt
Filed under: uncultured bacterium
Lineage: Bacteria
Description: partial 16S ribosomal RNA
Rfam family: Bacterial small subunit ribosomal RNA
Source: RNAcentral